UGUGGAUUCCAAUGAAUGUCGAUAAGUAACAGAUGAUUUCCUCCUACAAGGUUUAAUCCAACUCCACCAGCAGAGCGAUUUAUUGUUUUUACCGAGGGUAGGUUGCUAGCCUCAACCCCUCGAACCCUCUCCUUUUUAUCUGGGCUUGGGACUAGCUCUAGAUGUUAACUAAGCAGAUAAAUCUUGGCAUCAACGGCACAUCGCGGUUUGACUUAAUGAUCAAGCAGGAACUAGUGCUGUCACCGUGCCAUAGCCGUUGACAUGAUAAUUUUUUAUUAUUUAUAUACUAACGUCGUAUAAAAAAACAAUUACUUACUUUGGAACUCAACCGAUCUGAUUCAAAUACUGGAUUUGUAGAAUGACAUAUUAUUUACACGCGAUAUAAUAUCAUUAUUUUCUUCUACUAUUCCACUUUGUUCCAAAUCAUCUUGAUCCAACAUAGCAUGA
Long non-coding RNA from Polistes canadensis, 447 nucleotides. RefSeq lists it as uncharacterized. NCBI's taxonomy places the organism in Eukaryota, Metazoa, Arthropoda, Insecta, Hymenoptera, Vespidae. The transcript is spliced from 3 exons. The record is from RefSeq and is a predicted model, not a curated record.